Silurus meridionalis is the source of this 173-nucleotide long non-coding RNA. RefSeq lists it as uncharacterized. The record is from RefSeq and is a predicted model, not a curated record. NCBI's taxonomy places the organism in Eukaryota, Metazoa, Chordata, Actinopteri, Siluriformes, Siluridae. The transcript has 3 exons.
CUCCUCCUAGAAUCAAUGCAACUGAUGUUACUGCCAACAGGCUCAAUAAUGUAAUCAGAUUUCAGCUCAAUCCAGACGUAUAUGAUGUUAUAGCCAUCAGGCAGAAUCGCAACAUCAGACCCAGACGCAUGGGGCGCCACAGCGGAUCAUCCGCAUGUUUGAUUUGGCACAUG